AUACGGAGGAUGCGAGCGUUAUCCGGAUUUAUUGGGUUUAAAGGGAGCGUAGGUGGGAUAUUAAGUCAGCUGUGAAAGUUUGGGGCUCAACCUUAAAAUUGCAGUUGAUACUGGUUUCCUUGAGUACGGUACAGGUGGGCGGAAUUCGUGGUGUAGCGGUGAAAUGCUUAGAUAUCACGAAGAACUCCGAUCGCGAAGGCAGCUCACCGGGCCGGAACUGACACUGAUGCUCGAAAGUGCGGGUAUCAAACAGGAUUAGAUACCCUGGUAGUCCGCACAGUAAACGAUGAAUACUCGCUGUUUGCGAUACACGGUAAGCGGCCAAGCGAAAGCGUUAAGUAUUCCACCUGGGGAGUACGCCGGCAACGGUGAAACUCAAAGGAAUUGACUGGG
This 393-nucleotide ribosomal RNA is filed under the name uncultured bacterium. Its description in RNAcentral is "partial 16S ribosomal RNA". It matches the Rfam family "Bacterial small subunit ribosomal RNA", at positions 523 to 918 of the family's 1533-position model. The record is from RNAcentral.